RNAcentral lists this ribosomal RNA (525 nucleotides) under uncultured bacterium. RNAcentral's name for it is "partial 16S ribosomal RNA". It matches the Rfam family "Bacterial small subunit ribosomal RNA", at positions 355 to 871 of the family's 1533-position model. The record is from RNAcentral.
UAGGGAAUCUUCCACAAUGGACGCAAGUCUGAUGGAGCAACGCCGCGUGAGUGAAGAAGGUUUUCGGACCGUAAAGCUCUGUUGUUGGUGAAGAAGGAUAGAGGUAGUAACUGGCCUUUAUUUGACGGUAAUCAACCAGAAAGUCACGGCUAACUACGUGCCAGCAGCCGCGGUAAUACGUAGGUGGCAAGCGUUGUCCGGAUUUAUUGGGCGUAAAGCGAGCGCAGGCGGAAGAAUAAGUCUGAUGUGAAAGCCCUCGGCUUAACCGAGGAAUUGCAUCGGAAACUGUUUUCUUGAGUGCAGAAGAGGAGAGUAGAACUCCAUGUGUAGCGGUGGAAUGCGUAGAUAUAUGGAAGAAUACCAGUGGCGAAGGCGGCUCUCUGGUCUGCAAACUGACGCUGAGGCUCGAAAGCAUGGGUAGCGAACAGGAUUAGAUACCCUGGUAGUCCAUGCCGUAAACGAUGAGUGCUAAGUGUUGGGAGGCUUCCGCCUCUCAGUGCUGCAGCUAACGCAUUAAGCACUCCG